UAGGGAAUAUUGCAAAUGGGCGGAAGCCUGAUGUAGCAACGCCGCGUGUGCGAUGAAGGUCUUCGGAUUGUAAAGCACUUUUUGGAGGGAUGAGGAAGGACAGUACCUCCAGAAUAAGCCUCAGCUAACUACGUGCCAGCAGCCGCGGUAACACGUAGGAGGCAAGCGUUAUUCGGAUUUACUGGGCGUAAAGCGCGUGCAGGCGGUUUGGAAAGUUGGAUGUGAAAGCUCCUGGCUCAACUGGGAGAGGUCGUUCAAAACUUCUAGACUUGAGAGUGGUAGAGGGAGGUGGAAUUCCGGGUGUAGUGGUGAAAUGCGUAGAUAUCCGGAGGAACACCAGUGGCGAAAGCGGCCUCCUGGACCACUUCUGACGCUCAGACGCGAAAGCUAGGGUAGCAAACGG
This 403-nucleotide ribosomal RNA is filed under the name uncultured bacterium. RNAcentral describes it as "bacterial SSU rRNA". It matches the Rfam family "Bacterial small subunit ribosomal RNA", at positions 355 to 775 of the family's 1533-position model. The record is from RNAcentral.